AGCAGCCGCGGUAAUUCCAGCUCCAAUAGCGUAUAUUAAAGUUGUUGCAGUUAAAAAGCUCGUAGUUGAAUUUCGGGACCAAUCUGCCGGUCGUGCCUCCGGUACGCACUGGUUUUAUUGGUUUCUCCCUUCUGACGAACCAUGAUGUCAUUAAUUCGGUGUCAUGGGGAAUCAGGACUGUUACUUUGAAAAAAUUAGAGUGUCUAUAGCAGGCUCACGCUUGAAUACAUUAGCAUGGAAUAAUGAAAUAGGACGUUUGACCCUAUUUUGUUGGUUUCUAGGAUCGACGUAAUGAUUAAUAGGGAUAGUUGGGGGCAUUAGUAUUCAAUUGUCAGAGGUGAAAUUCUUGGAUUUAUUGAAGACUAACUACUGCGAAAGCAUUUGCCAAGGAUGUUUUCAUUAAUCAAGAACGAAAGUUGGGGAUCAAGACGAUCAGAUACCGUCGUAGUCUUAACCAUAAACUAUGCCGACUAGGGGAUCGGAUGAUGUUAAUUUUUUUCAAUGGCUCAUUCGGCGCCUU
This 520-nucleotide ribosomal RNA is filed under the name uncultured Glomus. RNAcentral's name for it is "SSU rRNA". It matches the Rfam family "Eukaryotic small subunit ribosomal RNA", at positions 569 to 1089 of the family's 1831-position model. The record is from RNAcentral. Lineage: Eukaryota; Fungi; Glomeromycota; Glomeromycetes; Glomerales; Glomeraceae.